This 8535-nucleotide long non-coding RNA is filed under the name Sus scrofa (pig). RNAcentral describes it as "lncRNA (ENSSSCG00025006629.1)". The record is from RNAcentral. Lineage: Eukaryota; Metazoa; Chordata; Mammalia; Artiodactyla; Suidae.
GCGUUAGCCCAGCGUGGAGCGGCGAGAAGCGCCCAGGUCGGCAAUUCUCCCUCGGGGUCUCUGACGCUGAGCGUUCCUGAAUGACUGACUGGCAGAAACUGGGACUGGAGUGUGAGCACCUGAGGGGCUCUCCAGUGGGGCUUGGAAGCGAGUGCCCCAGUGACUUUUCUUACAAGCUUGAGGGUGGCAUCUUCUGAUCACUCAUGUCAUCAAUUGCUAGAAAAAUGAGAACUCUCCAGAAGAUCAAGUACUGUGCAGUAGUUACCAUGCACAGGCCCCAUUGAGGCCUGGCCUUUGAAGUGCCUUGUUCACCAACCUUAAAGGAAGGUCCCAUGUAACACAGUUUGGAUUAGACAUUACAAAUGGCUUCCAGUUGUAUGGAUUGCUUUCCAGACUUUGUUGUGGGAGCCACCUGAUGAGGAGGGCCGAGUGCAAGUGCAUAAGCAGCUUCCGAUCAGAACUUCUGCAUGGGCUUGGCCCAGGUAUCUUGAAACUCCAGAAAGUCCUAAAUAUAAACAAUCAGCAGUGGGAGUGAAGAGGCCAGUGUGAUGCUGUGAGGAUGACCCUCCGCACGGGAAAGGAACUCGGCAACAAGCAGAACAGGUGCCUCAUCAUCGUCCCAUCACUGGGAUCGCUUCAGGUGACCGAUAGAUCCAUCCAAUCCUACUUAGAAGAUAAGCCUUUGAAAAACUUGCAAGUGCAAAUGAGAAGAAACUGCCGUGUCAAGGAAGGCUGUGUUAGCAAUGGGAAAAUGUGGCCCAUAUAUGUUAAAUUGAUUAUAAUGUUCAUGUUCCAGAGUAAAACGUUGCAGCAUUUAAAAAGUUGUAACCUAAGGAUAAGACAGAACUGUGUUGGGUUCUUUACUUGUAUGAUCUCAUUUUAAGUCUCACAAAGAGAUCUUUUUUCUUUUUCGGCUGCCCUAUGGCAUAUGGAGUUCCCGGGCCAGGGAGCAGAUUGGAGCCACAGUUUCGACCUAAGCCUCGCCUAGGGCAACACUGGAUCCCUAACCCACCGCACAGGGCAGGGGAUGGAACCUGUGUCCCAGGGCUCCCAAGACACCGCCAAUCCCAUUGCACCACAGCGGGAACUCCUCACAAAAGAGAUCUUACUGUCUUCAUUUUUUCAAAGCGAGUGAGGCUUGGAACAAAUAAAAAAUGGGGACACCACCUUAGUACUAAUACUCAGCGGAGCUUAAAUUAGAACCCAAAUCUGUCUGACUCCAGAAUCCUUUCUUCACUACCGUUGGUUCCUCUCAAGAGCAAUUUUUUAAAUAUUGACAUUAAGUUUUCAGAAAGGUUGAAAAAUUGAUUGAUUGUGAAAGAUUGAUUAUGAAAAAUUGAUGAUGUGUUGAGCACUGACAAUGGGCCAUGCAGGAGGCAGGGCAGUGUGGGGGAUGUAAUAAACCAUCCUCCACUUAAGAGCUGAGUAGCUAGAGCAGGAAGCUGACAGAUCAACAUGGGCUGAGCAAUAAGGCCUCCUAUGAGGGGCUGCGUGAGCACUGCGGGAAGGAGUGUUGGUUCUGGUUGUGCAUGGAGGACACGGAAUGUUCCAUGGAACAGAGGAAGAUGGCACUUUGAGGAGGCUGGGGAGGGCUCUGCAGCACUGGGACAUUGCAGAGUAAGGAAGGAGCAGGGAGCAGGGUAGAAAGUUCAGUGAGGUCAGGGUACGACUGGAAUAGUGGAGGGUGAAAGUAGGUUGGAGCCAGACCAUGGAAGGCUUUGAAUAGGAGCCUGAACUUGAAAUGAGGAGUUAUUAAACGUUUUUGAGUAGAAGUCAAGGAUCCAACCAAUCCUUGACUAAAACAUCCGAAAGUAUCACUGAAUCCAUCCUGACACCAAAUCACAAGUACACAAAGCACAUAAAGCAGAAACACUUAGAAAAUCAAUAGUCUUGAUAAAGAUGCAACAAAAUAGCCUAUUUACCUCUGAGGAAAGAGCAAAUGAAGGGAUAUAUGCCUGGAUCACUGGCUCAAACCCCCCCUGCCCUCUUUCUUCUGCAUUGGCCAAGAAUGGUCCCAUUCUCCUGAUGCAUGCAUAAGACUACCUCAUGAACAAAAAGACUUGGGGCAACAAAUACAACUCUCCUUCUUCCCCCACAAAGAAAAAAUUCCAGCAAAGAAAUGAAAAUUCCCUUCAUUUCCUCCCUUUCUUCAGAAGCCAGUUCGUGAAGAUUGCUUAACUCUCCUAUCACCUCAGGACACCAGACAAACAGCCUAGAAUGGGAACUGGAUCCUGAUGGCUUAAUUGAGUUAAAAGGAAAAGAGUAGAUCAUCUAAAAGCCUCUCAAUGGUUUCAAAGUGCCUCUCCCGUCUCUGAAAGCCCAGUGGCGGUUCUCAGUUCCUCAGUUAGGGAGGAGCUGAAUGAAUUUCCUAGCACAGAAUUCAAAAGCACUGGAAGUCAGCAGUUCUGAAAGACUGCAGAAAGGUCUUGUUUACAUUUUUCUCUUGGGCUGAAACCCAUCUAUUUAAACUUUAACCAGAGGCAAUUAUAAAACCGUGGUGAGCCAGAGAUGGCAGUCUGCACAAGACGGAGAGACAGAUGCCAACAGUCUGGCAUUGAAGGAGGAAGAGAGGGAAUAUUUUGAGAACGGAGUCAAGGAAGAACUACAAAGAAGGUUUUGGAAAUAAAAAGUGUCACCUAGGCAGCUGUUCUUCAGAAUAGGGGGAGAAAUGGGGGUGGGGGGGAGACAGCAGGAGGGGUGGGCAGGGAAGACAGCUUAGGCCUCUGCCAGCUGAGGUGGGUAGAGCUGAGGCCAUCACCAUCCUACCAGUUCACAAGUCCCGUCCUGUAAGAGCUUACUGCUGUAGCCCCUGCUCUUUACACCUUUUUUUUCCCUCUUGGGUCAAAGUGCCUUAACCCAGAGAGUCAGCGACCCUGAGAGGACUGCCUGGAGCAGACACACCCUCUGCCAGGACACAGGCCCUCUUCCCCGAAAGCCAAGCCUCCUCUUCGAUUCAGGUUUUCCUGGCAAAGUCCCACCUUGGAGCUGAUGAGUAGUCCAGUGACGUCAGAGGAAAUACCCCAUUUGACAAAGGACCCUGCUAUAGUUGCCAGUAAACUGAGCUUAUUAGCAUGUCCUGAUCUGGGUCUUAGGAUUUGAUGAGUCCUAAAAAUAAACUCAGAGAGAAAUAGCUGUUGCACCAAAGUGAAUGUUUUUACUCUGGAUCUGAGAAUGUCUGUGGACCUGACAUUGACAAUACGGCCAGUUUUAUUUAUUUAUUUUUAAAUUAAUUUUUUGUCCUUAGGGCCACGCCUGUGGCAUGUGGCAAUUCCCAGGCUAGGGAUCUAAUCUGAGCUGCAGCUGCUGGCCUACGCCACAGCCACAGCAACACAGGAUCCUAGCUGUGUCUGUGACCUACACUGAAGCUCAUGGCAAGGCUGGAUCCUUAACCCACUGAGCGAGGCCAGGGAUCCAACCUGUGUCCUUGUGGAUGCUAGUCAGAUUUGUUUCCACUGGGCUACAACGGCAACUCCUGGGCCAGUUUUAGAUGCAUACACAAAUGUGGGGAGGUCUACAAUCUCCUACCAAUCUCUUGGUGUAAAUGAGACAGAAAUUCUACCCCUAGAUAUUCACUCCUUUGAGUUUCUUAACUUUUUGGUUUUGAAUGCCCUUAUUAAGAUGCAAAUGCAGUAUUGAGAGGAUAGCCCUUGCCUGAGAAGGAAUCACCUAAUUUCUUAGGAGGAAUUUGUGUUCUGUCAAUUCCAGCCAAAUUAGCACUAGGGCUCUGUGGGGGAAAGAUCCAGGACAGGCAUCCUGGAGAUGGAGAAUGGGCAGAGGCCUUGGAAAUUAUGAGUAGGGAAGCCGGCAGGAGUCAUGAAAGAGGCCAGAGACAAGAAGAUCCGCCCCUCAACAUAAGUCAGAGUUCGUGUAAGCAGCUGAAAGCCAAGCUCAUCCUAACUUUUUGUGAAACUUUCUCUCUGCUCCCAUCUUUUAGCAGGGAAAGCCAUUUGGGGCACAGCCAGAGGGCAGUGGGGAAGGUCAGAGGAUUUGCAGAUAUUCAGGGCCAUGACCAUGGUCUCCCAGGGCAAAGAGGCCAAGGUUGUGGGCUUCUCUCCAGACCAGUUUGCUACUCUCAGCUGUAGAUCUCUCCUACAGCUCUGAACUGCACUCCCAGGUCCAGCCAAUCAUCUAAAAAAUUCAUGAUGCUGUUCACAAGGGCCUGGGUGGAGAAUGUGGGGAUGGCUCCGUGCAAACUCACCCUGACCGAGGGCAGACAGAUCCUAGGUAAUAUUCUUGCUUGUGUGUAUAUGGGGGGGGGCACUUCAUAAGAAGAAUAAAACAUAGCGUGACUUUUUGUUGUUAUUAAAUAUAAGCUGAAACUGUAUUUCUUAAAGUUUGUAUGAGUAGAAAUUGCUUUAUUGUACCCUCAUCCCUAGAGAGGGAGAAGGUCUGAUUCUGAGGUCUUCUGCAGGAGACAGCCUGUGAACACAUGCCUGUUAGAUACCCCAAGAGCUGCACAGAAAUUUCAAAGGGAUGCCCAGUACCUACCAGAGGGUGUUAUACCUUCGAGGAGAUAUUUUGUACAAUCACACAUGAGAUUUUCAAGUGAAAUCCUGGGGGACUAUACAUAAACCAGACAAGAAGCACAGUAUAAUGGUUAAAAGCAUGGAUUCAGGAGCCAGGGAAUUUGGGUUCAGAUCCUAGCACUUUUUAGCUGUGUGACCUUAGGCAAGUCACUUAAUCUCUCUGGGCCUUAGUUUCCUCAUCCAUAAAACUCAGAUAAUAGUACUUCUCAGUUCACAGGGUUGUUGUAAGGAUUAAAACGAGUUAAUAUUUAAAGGGUUGAAUGAGUUACUAUUUAAGUGUUACAUGUAAAAAGUAACAUAAUCAGGAGUUUCUGUGGUGGUGCAGCAGAAAUGAAUCUUCCUAGGAACGAUGAGGUUGCCGGUUCUAUCCCUUGCCUUGCUCAGUGGGUUAAGGAUCUGGUGUGGUAGUGAGCUGUGGUGUAGGUCUCAGACGCGGCUCGGAUCUGGCAUUGCUGUGGCUGUGGUAUAGGCCAGCAGCUAUAGUUCCCAUUUGACCCCUUAGCCUAGGGACCCCCAUAUGCCUCAGGUACGGCCCUUAAAAAAAAACAAAACAAAGCAAAAGUAACAUAAUCAAGUCUCUAGGCCUGGAAACCUCAGUUGAUUCUAUGAUUGACCCUGUCUCCAGGAAGGCCUUUGGUUGGCUCUGGCCUGUACUUACCCUCCAAUUUCACCAGCAUGAGGAGGCAGAAGAUACCCGGGAAACUUUCAUCUCCAGGCUUCCCCUUGAGCAUUAGGCAAGGCACUUCUCUGAAGUCUUGCAAGCCAGAACCAACAACAGGGAGCUCUGUCUGGUGCCCAGGCUUGAAAUGGGAAUCCCUCAUUGCAAACCCCUCAGUGCCUUGGUGGGCUCCCUGCUUGUGCUCUCACUAAAUGCUUCACCAAGCCAAGGUUACAGAACACAAGGAAAAGCCCUAAGUGAGAAAGCUAAGAAGAGCAAAGAAACUAGCAGGUGGCAGGAAGAAGGAUCACAGCAAGAGGAAACCCAACACACAACGAAAAAAGUAGAAAAGCUGAAGGAAGUGCAAGGAAACUUUUUUUGUUUCUCUAUUUUUGACCCAGUGAAAAACACAAACACUAGCGAAUAAACUGAGCAACAGAAUCAGGCUGAGCCAGUGAAGGGAGGGACCAGGCAGCGGAACAGCAAAUACAUGCUCAUUACCUCACCCUUCCUCCUGUGACCUGCAAGCAUGGCCCCAGGGCCAUUCGUUUCACAGCCUAAUAAUGAUUUCAUUUCACAGACUUCCUUCCACUUUUUUUUUUCUUAAUAAAAGUCCAUCACAGCUCUGUUUGGGGAAUCAGAAACAGUAUCUGUCUUUAGGAAAUUUAACUGCCAACAGAGCUCAGAUAAGCAUAAUUGAGAAGUAAAGAAUAGUUGGUGUGACCAGGACAAAUAUCAAAUCACAAAUAUUUGAAAUUCUUCUCUUUCCCGGCUCUAAGUAGAGAAGUGCCUUUGUUUGCUGAAUUGGCUCACAGACGCCUUGGCUUCUGUGUUGUGUAGGAUGUUGAAUGGGGAGGAGAAACCAGACGAAGGUCAAAUAUUUGUCAAAUGCUAACUGUGUAUCAGGUAUUCUGCUAAAUGCCAGAAAUUCAACAGUAAACAAAACACACAAGCCCUUGUCCUCAUGAAGCUAACACUUUUUUUACUUUUUAAAUUACAUAUAAAGUUACCAUCUUAGCUGUUUUUAAGUGAAUGUUUCAAUAGUGUUAAGUGUGUUUCUCCUGUGAUGGAAUCUCUAGAAUUUUUCCAUCUUGCAAAACUGAAACUCUGUGCCUAUUAAACAAUUCCCAUUUCCCCUUCUUCUAGGCUCAGGAUACCAAUAUUCUACUUUGCAUUUCUGUGAAUUUGCUUACUCUGGAUUCAUGUGGAAUCAUAGUGGUAUUUGCCUUUUUGUGACCAGCUCAUUUUACUUAGCAUAAUAUCCUCAAAGUUUCUCCAUAUUUAGCAUGUAUUGAAAUUUCCCUAGCUGUUUAGGGCUGAAUAAUAUUCCACUGUGUGUAUAGGCCACAUUUUGUUUAUCCAUUCAUCCUUGGAUAGACAUGUGGGUUGCUUCCAUUUCUUGGCUAUUGUGAAUAAUGCUGCUGUGAACAUGGGUGUAAAGUAUCUCCUUGAAUUAACACUCUUUUAAAGAGUUUAUUCCAUCAUAUUUGGGUUCCUUAUUUGCCCAUUAGUUGGCCCAAUUCGAUGGGUAAAUGCACAAGGAUCUGUGUUAUCUUUGCAUUCCAACUUCCUAUACAGUCCUAACACAUAGUAGGAACUCAAUAAAUAUUUGUUGAACAAAAUAAUUUAUUUUUACACUUCUUAGUCACUACUGCUGCAGCUGGCUAUUUUACAUAUUUUAAUAAAUAAGUUUUGCAAUUUUAAUGAAUGCUAUUUUGAUUAUAUUUACAUACUAAGCCAGUUUAUCUAAGGGGAUUGGUAUUAAAAAAUCUAAAUCUCCAUCAAAGUUCACUUUCUAGAUGAAAUGCUAUUGACAAUUCCUUCCCACUCGCUUUGGUUAAAAUCAACUGUUGCUGCUCUUAUUUCUCUCUUUCCUUCUCUCUCUUUUCCUGAAGUCAUAGCACUGUGUAGAUCUUGAGGACCUCAUUACGGAUCUCCUCAACUCAUGGGACGUCAUAUUGAACAGAUCUAGGCAUGGGCCUAGAGUUUGGUUCUCUCAGCCCAAAACCUCACGUUGAAGGUCAUUUUGUACAAGGCACAGCAUAAACAAAGCAUAGCCCUACCUCUGGAGGAACUCUGUCUUGUGGUUCUGUCUGGUUAUUCUUGGCCACAAUUUAAGGUCUCAGGUUUUUUUGUUGUUUUUUUUUGUUGUUUUGUAUUUUUAGGGCUGCACCCUCGGCAUAUGGAAGUUCCCAGGCUAGGGGUCUAAUCGGAGCUAUAGCUGCCAGCCUACACCACAGCCGCAGCAAUGCCGGAUCCUUUAACCCACUGAGCGAGGCCAGGGAUCAAAUCUGCAACCUCAUGGUUCCUAUUCGGAUUCAUUUCUUCUGCACCACAAUGGGAACUCCUGAGGCCUCAGUUUUCUUGGGUGUAGAAAAUAGUAUUUACCUCCGUUCCCCAUGAAAAACACAGACACAACUCUAAUAUUUAUAGAGCACGAGGAACUGAAAGACAUUGUCAAAAUUCUGAGUAGCCUGUAUUUAAUGAUAAUUACUAUAUGUAGUAUCAGCAGUUUUAGAAGCUAGUUAAAUAAUCUUUUACAUAAUGGAUAUUUAGAAUUAUGAUUUAUGGUCAAGGUAGCAUUGCUGUACAUAAAUCUUUAAGAUACUUGCUUAGCUCCAAACACAAAGCAAUUGUUUUUAAAAUGUACAAGAGAAAAAUUAAAAGACACAGUUGGCCCCAAAUAUAACCUUUUCUAUGGACCAGAAAUACAAAGCAAUGGAUAGGACUGAAGAUAUUGGACUCCAGGCCUGAAAGGAGGCAGAAAAUUCUGCAAUGGGGCUUCUGCAGGGGAAGUGAAACUAAAAGUGAUCUCCAUGGGGUGAGGGAAGUGGGUGGGAACCAGACCAGAUUCACUGCUUGAAACCAUGGACUAGACUGAGAGCCCCCAUCCUCAUACGCUCAAACUGGCUUGUUAAAGAAGUUAAAAAACCCUGAUCACUGACUAUGAUGGGCCUUUCACGAAGGAACUGUGAGCAGGAAGACAGGACCCAUGAUAGGAAAUUGGAUUAAGCAACCAAACACAGGCCUCUGUGAUUGACCCUAUGGCAUUUCCAUCAACACCAUAAGGGAAGAGAAUAGAUAAACUCUCUUUGCUCAGGCAACAUGAUUGUCUAUAAAGAAAAUAAUUAAACAGACUAUACCAAAAAAAGUGUUAGAACUAAAAAGACAAUUCAGCAAAGUUGCUGGGUACAAGGUCAACACAAAAUUCAAUUGCAUGGAGUUCCCUGGUGGCUUAAUAGUUAAGGAUUUGUUUUUGUCACUGCUGUGGCUCCUGUGGCUCAGUUCGACCCCUGGCUCAGUAACUGGAACUUUUGUAUGCUGCAAGUGCACCCAAAAAAAAAAAAAAAA